This 801-nucleotide ribosomal RNA is filed under the name uncultured Diversispora. RNAcentral describes it as "SSU rRNA". It matches the Rfam family "Eukaryotic small subunit ribosomal RNA", at positions 315 to 1114 of the family's 1831-position model. The record is from RNAcentral. Lineage: Eukaryota; Fungi; Glomeromycota; Glomeromycetes; Diversisporales; Diversisporaceae.
UCAACUUUCGAUUGGUAGGAUAGAGGCCUACCAUGGUUUUAACGGGUAACGGGGAAUUAGGGUUCGAUUCCGGAGAGGGAGCCUGAGAAACGGCUACCACAUCCAAGGAAGGCAGCAGGCGCGCAAAUUACCCAAUCCCGACACGGGGAGGUAGUGACAAUAAAUAACAGUACGGGGCUCAUUUGGGUCUCGUAAUUGGAAUGAGUACAAUUUAAAUCCCUUAACGAGGAACAAUUGGAGGGCAAGUCUGGUGCCAGCAGCCGCGGUAAUUCCAGCUCCAAUAGCGUAUAUUAAAGUUGUUGCAGUUAAAAAGCUCGUAGUUGAACUUCGGGGUUUACCCAUUGGUCAGGCUUAAUUGUCUGCACUGGUGAGAUAAAUCUCUACCUUCUGAGGAACUUUCAUGCCAUUUAUUUGGUGUGAUGGGAAAUCAGGACUGUUACUUUGAAAAAAUUAGAGUGUUUAAAGCAGGCUAACGUCUGAAUACAUUAGCAUGGAAUAAUGAAAUAGGACGGACUGAUUCUAUUUCGUUGGUUUCUAGGAUCACCGUAAUGAUUAAUAGGGAUAGUUGGGGGCAUUAGUAUUCAAUUGUCAGAGGUGAAAUUCUUGGAUUUAUUGAAGACUAACUACUGCGAAAGCAUUUGCCAAGGAUGUUUUCAUUAAUCAAGAACGAAAGUUAGGGGAUCGAAGACGAUCAGAUACCGUCGUAGUCUUAACCAUAAACUAUGCCGACUAGGGAUCGGACGAAGUUAAUUUUAUAAUGACGCGUUCGGUACCUUACGGGAAACCAAAGUGUUUGGGUUC